GGACCAUGAUUAAUUCAGGUGUU
RNAcentral lists this non-coding RNA (23 nucleotides) under Arabidopsis thaliana (thale cress). Lineage: Eukaryota; Viridiplantae; Streptophyta; Magnoliopsida; Brassicales; Brassicaceae. The record is from RNAcentral.